This 717-nucleotide ribosomal RNA is filed under the name Salmonella enterica subsp. enterica serovar Kentucky. RNAcentral describes it as "partial 23S ribosomal RNA". It matches the Rfam family "Bacterial large subunit ribosomal RNA", at positions 1 to 647 of the family's 2925-position model. Lineage: Bacteria; Pseudomonadati; Pseudomonadota; Gammaproteobacteria; Enterobacterales; Enterobacteriaceae. The record is from RNAcentral.
GGGUUGUGAGGUUAAGCGACUAAGCGUACACGGUGGAUGCCCUGGCAGUCAGAGGCGAUGAAGGACGUGCUAAUCUGCGAUAAGCGCCGGUAAGGUGAUAUGAACCGUUAUAACCGGCGAUUUCCGAAUGGGGAAACCCAGUGUGACUCGUCACACUAUCAUUAACUGAAUCCAUAGGUUAAUGAGGCGAACCGGGGGAACUGAAACAUCUAAGUACCCCGAGGAAAAGAAAUCAACCGAGAUUCCCCCAGUAGCGGCGAGCGAACGGGGAGGAGCCCAGAGCCUGAAUCAGCAUGUGUGUUAGUGGAAGCGUCUGGAAAGGCGCGCGAUACAGGGUGACAGCCCCGUACACAAAAGCGCAUGUGUUGUGAGCUCGAUGAGUAGGGCGGGACACGUGGUAUCCUGUCUGAAUAUGGGGGGACCAUCCUCCAAGGCUAAAUACUCCUGACUGACCGAUAGUGAACCAGUACCGUGAGGGAAAGGCGAAAAGAACCCCGGCGAGGGGAGUGAAAAAGAACCUGAAACCGUGUACGUACAAGCAGUGGGAGCCCCACCACUAAGCCAGUGGUGAACUCCACAUACGCAUCCUUUGCUGAAGGUGCGGUUAACGGAGCGCAAGCGACGUUCAACCUCAAAAGAAGCAGAGGGGGCUUAGUGGUGGGGUGACUGCGUACCUUUUGUAUAAUGGGUCAGCGACUUAUAUUCUGUAGCAAGGUU